This 269-nucleotide unclassified non-coding RNA is filed under the name plant metagenome. RNAcentral describes it as "partial contains small subunit ribosomal RNA, internal transcribed spacer 1, and 5.8S ribosomal RNA". The record is from RNAcentral.
UUUCCGUAGGUGAACCUGCGGAAGGAUCAUUAAUGAGUUGUCAUGGGGUUCGAUGCUGGCAGCCAAUUUUUGGAUGCAUGUGCUUGCCCUAACAAUCAUCUUCCAAACACCUGUGCACAUUUUUGAGGGAGUCUUGAGUUGGUUGCCGCUCUUGGGUGAUUUUCUCACAUUCCCUUAAAUCAUUAUACGCUAUUAACAAUGUUGAACGUGCUCUGUGCCACAAGGCUAUUAAUAUAAUACAACUUUUAACAACGGAUCUCUUGGCUCUC